AUGGCCUACAAGCUCCAGCUGCCAGAGGGCAGUUGUAUCCACUCCGUCUUCCACGUGUCACAGCUGAAGCCCUUCACGCCAGAUUACUCGUCGGUCUUCUCCGAGCUGCCCCGUACACCCGACCUCACCGUGACUCCACUCCAACCUGUCGCCAUCUUGGAUCGAUGCAUGGUCAAGAAGGGCAACAACUCCGUGGUGCAUGUACACGUUCAGUGGUCAUCGCUCUCCACAAAGUCUGCAACCUGGGAAGAUUACAAUGUGCCACGUCAUCGCUACCCGACGGCGCCAUGCUGGACAGAAGACGCUGCAGCUCAUGGAGGGUAA
This 324-nucleotide ribosomal RNA is filed under the name Triticum aestivum (bread wheat). RNAcentral describes it as "partial small subunit ribosomal RNA". Lineage: Eukaryota; Viridiplantae; Streptophyta; Magnoliopsida; Poales; Poaceae. The record is from RNAcentral.